Molecule: ribosomal RNA, 467 nt
Filed under: uncultured bacterium
Lineage: Bacteria
Description: partial 16S ribosomal RNA
Rfam family: Bacterial small subunit ribosomal RNA
Source: RNAcentral
GACGAACGCUGGCGGCGUGCUUAACACAUGCAAGUCGAACGGAAGGGCCCUGCUUUUGUGGGGUGCUCGAGUGGCGAACGGGUGAGUAACACGUGAGUAACCUGCCCUUACUUUGGGAUAACUUCAGGAAACUGGGGCUAAUACCGGAUAGGAGCUCCUGCUGCAUGGUGGGGGUUGGAAAGUUUCGGCGGUUGGGGAUGGACUCGCGGCUUAUCAGCUUGUUGGUGGGGUAGUGGCUUACCAAGGCUUUGACGGGUAGCCGGCCUGAGAGGGUGACCGGCCACAUUGGGACUGAGAUACGGCCCAGACUCCUACGGGAGGCAGCAGUGGGGAAUAUUGCACAAUGGGCGGAAGCCUGAUGCAGCAACGCCGCGUGCGGGAUGACGGCCUUCGGGUUGUAAACCGCUUUCGCCUGUGACGAAGCGUGAGUGACGGUAAUGGGUAAAGAAGCACCGGCUAACUACGUG